RNAcentral lists this long non-coding RNA (451 nucleotides) under Theobroma cacao (cacao). RNAcentral's name for it is "long non-coding RNA (TCAC_LNC006162)". Lineage: Eukaryota; Viridiplantae; Streptophyta; Magnoliopsida; Malvales; Malvaceae. The record is from RNAcentral.
AAAUAAUAUUUUAUUGUUUUGAUUUGGAAACGACUUAUGAUUUCUUGAAAUGCAAGAUUUAAUAACUGUCACUCACAGGGGAGAUGCAGAAGUUGAUGCUAAGCUUUGCGGGGUUUCGAUCGGCAUUCAGGGUAAUGAGUGCCUAUCGGGACGUCGCGGCGGUUGUCACGGGCCCAAUGGGAGUUCCGGGUCAUGACACACUGGGAUUUUAUAAUCUCACCACCCUCAUUUCCACUCAUUUCAGGCUCAGAAUAGACUGCAGAUAGCUGAUAUCAUCGAGAACUACAGUUGGACUUGCAUCAUGCAAAAAUUGUAGGUUCAUUUCUUUUAAUACUUUUGGUCAUUAGUGGGCCCACGUGUCACUGUAAAUUAAAUUUUAUACUUUGGUUAUCUGUAUUACAAUAUGUAUGAAUUUAUUUAGCUUUUACGCUAUAAAAAUUAUUUACCGGUA